ACCGGCGAACGGUUGCGUAACGCGUAUGCAACCUACCCUUAACUGGGGGAUAGCCCGGAGAAAUUCGGAUUAAUACCCCAUAGUAUUACAGAUUGGCAUCAUGAAGUAAUUAAAGAUUUAUUGGUUAAGGAUGGGCAUGCGUGACAUUAGUUAGUUGGUAAGGUAACGGCUUACCAAGACGAUGAUGUCUAGGGGUUCUGAGAGGAUGAUCCCCCACACUGGUACUGAGAUACGGACCAGACUCCUACGGGAGGC
Molecule: ribosomal RNA, 255 nt
Filed under: Favella ehrenbergii
Lineage: Eukaryota; Ciliophora; Spirotrichea; Tintinnida; Xystonellidae
Description: partial Bacterial small subunit ribosomal RNA
Rfam family: Bacterial small subunit ribosomal RNA
Source: RNAcentral